CUUUAUUUUCAUAUAUGGCGGAUGAUACUUCCAAUUGGUACAAUGAUUGUUGGAUUUGAUGGAAUCGGUCCGGACUUGAUACUAUGUUGAUAAGCGAGGGUGCAAGGCUCAAGGGAAGCCGGUUCUCUAACUCUCUGUAUGCUUAUGGUAUCUUGGAUGAGGGUUACAAAUUCAACGUGUUAGUUGAGGAAGCUACUGAGUUAGCAUGGCGGGCUUUUAUCACGCAACAUUUCGUGAUGGAGCAAGUGGUGGUUGUAUUCGUAUUGGUUUGGGUUCAGAUAGAAGAGCUCCAUGCUUACAAACUUUAGGGAUAACCGAGUUUAUCAAUGCCAAAAAAAUAAUCAUCGGGUUUUCAAGUGUAGGCAUCAUGUGAAAGCCCAGUUAGUGUUCCUGGUUUAUGAAUUUAAGAAUACAUUCUCAUCUCCCUUCUGUCUAUAUUCCAUUAUUUUAGAUUUAUAAGUGCUUUAGAUGAUUCUUGAGUGCCUUGUGCAACCUUUCCAUUUCAGGCAUCAUUUCUAAGUUGUAUGGCAUCCAUCCUGAUAAUUUGUUCUGCACCAUGCUGCCUCAUGUAGGAUUUUGGUGCUCGUGGUCUACUUUGCUUAGGGUCCUACAGGAGCACGGCGCUUUGCUGACCAAGAAGAUUGAGAGGGGGAGCCAAUUGCUAGAGAACGAGAAGGCCCGAACUGCUGCGUUGGAGGCCGGUCUCCGUAUCCGAUUGCAUCUGUGAGUACCUUCUGCUUACUGGCAUUUAAUUGGUUUAGACUUGUUUUUUGCUGAUAUAGCCUGUUAUUGCCGUGAAGCAGCCGAGGAGCAAUAUUACGAGAUGUGUCGUCGUCUUAGCUUGGUUUGGAAGGAGGCCAGCAAUUAUCGGAGCAUCGCCGAGUUGGGUGCUUUGGAGGCCCGUUACUGCCAGGAAUUAUUGUUGAAAACGCGAGACACUUGGGGAUUCAAACCAAAACAUUACCUCCGGUCUCUGGGCAAUGGUGCAAAAUCAGAGAGAGAGAGAGAGAGACUGUCCUGCGGCAACAAAUCCAGUCCGUCCGGGAUGAGAUUGAAGCUUCAGGGAAGGGUGAGGGCCCUUCGAUUGCCGAGGAGACUGCCCUGCUGAGAGGUCGGUCAACGCAUGUCGGUGGAACUGUCAGAUCAAUACGGCCAAAUAGCCAAGCUCCAGGAGGCCGCCCGAGGUAUUCUUCCGUAAAUGUAUAUUGUGCCGGAUCAAGGCAAACUUGGACAAGCAUCCCACUUAUGAUUAACCUCUAUUGCAAGCAUCCGCAACUAAACAAAAGUAUUAAGGUAAAUCU
This is a non-coding RNA of Triticum urartu, 1301 nucleotides long. The record is from RefSeq and is a predicted model, not a curated record. NCBI's taxonomy places the organism in Eukaryota, Viridiplantae, Streptophyta, Magnoliopsida, Poales, Poaceae.